UACAGGGGGUGCAAACGUUGCUCGGAAUUAUUGGGCGUAAAGCGCACGUAGGCGGUUGCUCAAGUCGGAUGUGAAAGCCCCUGGCUCAACCAGGGAAGUGCAUCCGAAACUGAGCAGCUAGAGUACGAAAGAGGGUCGCGGAAUUCCCAGUGUAGAGGUGAAAUUCGUAGAUAUUGGGAGGAACACCGGUGGCGAAGGCGGCGACCUGGGUCGAUACUGACGCUGAGGUGCGAAAGCGUGGGGAGCAAACAGG
RNAcentral lists this ribosomal RNA (253 nucleotides) under uncultured bacterium. Its description in RNAcentral is "partial 16S ribosomal RNA". It matches the Rfam family "Bacterial small subunit ribosomal RNA", at positions 524 to 776 of the family's 1533-position model. The record is from RNAcentral.